CUGAAAUGUGUUUCUUUAAGGUCAUGAAAUAUAGCAGUCCUGCUUAAAUCUUUUAAUAAACAUUUCAUAACCUUCAAAAAACGCUAUCAGAGGCACACUGCUGCUGCUGCAGCUCAGCCAAUCAGCUCUCCCUCCCUCCUGCCCCGCCUCUAAACCCAGUGCCCCUCACAGACUACUCCUCGCAUUUUCUUUUUAGCCUUAUUUAAAUUUGAGCUGAGGUUGGAGUCAGCUAUAAUCAGGGCGUUUAGUUACUCAUUAAUAAUGCAAAUUGUGCCACUGUUUAAAUACUUAAGCUGCAAAUAAAAAUUUAACAUUUUUAGUAACAGACAAAAAAAGUAAUUGCUGUGUUCACUGAGAAAAACGGUUCUAAAAGGCAGAUAAAGUAAAAGUGUGAUCUCCUACAGCUUGUAAAGGCAGUCUAAAUAUUUAAUUUAAGAGUUCAGUCGCAAAGUAGAACAAAGUGUUACUGAGACUCGUUCCAUCACCCGUUAUUUCUGGAACAGCUUCCAGGCCUGCUGGAUCAGCAUUUCUGGAUUUUCAGUGCAGUUUUUAAAAUGACUCACCUACAUUCUCUCUCUCUUCCCGCAGUCCUGAUGGAGCCCACUCGGAUGAGAGCACCCCCGAUGCCUCGCAGGCCAUCUACGCAGAGUUUGAUGAUGACUUUGAAGAAGAGGAGAUGUCCUCUCCUAUUGGCCAGUGCACAGCACUCUACAACUUCCCAGGCUCCAGCGAGGGCACCAUCUCCAUGCAGGAGGGCGAGGUCCUCGCCGUGGUGGAGGAGGACAAGGGCGACGGCUGGACGCGAGUGCGGCGGAACAACGGCGAUGAAGGCUACAUCCCCACCUCCUACGCCACCAUUAACCUCAACAAGUGAUCCACCACACCCGACCUUUAUCAUCCUAAUGCAGCUGCUGUACUGCACCGCCCGUGCACCCCCCCCCCCCCAGCCCUGGAGCUGCAGCUCCCCAUCACGGCUCAUCAUCCGGCAGGAAAAGAGCUCUGCUCUGCUCUGCUCUUCUUUUCUCUUUAGGGUGCAGAAAGAGAGAGAAAAAGAUGGAUGGAUACUAUAUAGGCUUUUAUACAUGGACUAUGUUAUAAAUGGUAGGAAUUAAAAUCUCAGAAAUUUCAGAAUUAAGUCAUUUUUUCCGCUCCUGCUUUUCUCCACUUUUUUCAGCAGACUGAUCUACAGGGAGCAGCAUGUUUAUGGUUUGGCUGCUGUUCCAGGAUCCCUCAGGCUUUUUUGAUUUUUUUUUAUAAU
RNAcentral lists this long non-coding RNA (1258 nucleotides) under Astyanax mexicanus (Mexican tetra). Its description in RNAcentral is "lncRNA (ENSAMXG00005015789.1)". The record is from RNAcentral. Lineage: Eukaryota; Metazoa; Chordata; Actinopteri; Characiformes; Acestrorhamphidae.